This 2931-nucleotide ribosomal RNA is filed under the name Escherichia coli. RNAcentral's name for it is "bacterial LSU rRNA". It matches the Rfam family "Bacterial large subunit ribosomal RNA". The record is from RNAcentral. Lineage: Bacteria; Pseudomonadati; Pseudomonadota; Gammaproteobacteria; Enterobacterales; Enterobacteriaceae.
GGGUUGUGAGGUUAAGCGACUAAGCGUACACGGUGGAUGCCCUGGCAGUCAGAGGCGAUGAAGGACGUGCUAAUCUGCGAUAAGCGUCGGUAAGGUGAUAUGAACCGUUAUAACCGGCGAUUUCCGAAUGGGGAAACCCAGUGUGUUUCGACACACUAUCAUUAACUGAAUCCAUAGGUUAAUGAGGCGAACCGGGGGAACUGAAACAUCUAAGUACCCCGAGGAAAAGAAAUCAACCGAGAUUCCCCCAGUAGCGGCGAGCGAACGGGGAGCAGCCCAGAGCCUGAAUCAGUGUGUGUGUUAGUGGAAGCGUCUGGAAAGGCGCGCGAUACAGGGUGACAGCCCCGUACACAAAAAUGCACAUACUGUGAGUUCGAUGAGUAGGGCGGGACACGUGGUAUCCUGUCUGAAUAUGGGGGGACCAUCCUCCAAGGCUAAAUACUCCUGACUGACCGAUAGUGAACCAGUACCGUGAGGGAAAGGCGAAAAGAACCCCGGCGAGGGGAGUGAAAAAGAACCUGAAACCGUGUACGUACAAGCAGUGGGAGCCUCUUAAUGGGGUGACUGCGUACCUUUUGUAUAAUGGGUCAGCGACUUAUAUUCUGUAGCAAGGUUAACCGAAUAGGGGAGCCGAAGGGAAACCGAGUCUUAACUGGGCGUUAAGUUGCAGGGUAUAGACCCGAAACCCGGUGAUCUAGCCAUGGGCAGGUUGAAGGUUGGGUAACACUAACUGGAGGACCGAACCGACUAAUGUUGAAAAAUUAGCGGAUGACUUGUGGCUGGGGGUGAAAGGCCAAUCAAACCGGGAGAUAGCUGGUUCUCCCCGAAAGCUAUUUAGGUAGCGCCUCGUGAAUUCAUCUCCGGGGGUAGAGCACUGUUUCGGCAAGGGGGUCAUCCCGACUUACCAACCCGAUGCAAACUGCGAAUACCGGAGAAUGUUAUCACGGGAGACACACGGCGGGUGCUAACGUCCGUCGUGAAGAGGGAAACAACCCAGACCGCCAGCUAAGGUCCCAAAGUCAUGGUUAAGUGGGAAACGAUGUGGGAAGGCCCAGACAGCCAGGAUGUUGGCUUAGAAGCAGCCAUCAUUUAAAGAAAGCGUAAUAGCUCACUGGUCGAGUCGGCCUGCGCGGAAGAUGUAACGGGGCUAAACCAUGCACCGAAGCUGCGGCAGCGACACUAUGUGUUGUUGGGUAGGGGAGCGUUCUGUAAGCCUGUGAAGGUGUACUGUGAGGUAUGCUGGAGGUAUCAGAAGUGCGAAUGCUGACAUAAGUAACGAUAAAGCGGGUGAAAAGCCCGCUCGCCGGAAGACCAAGGGUUCCUGUCCAACGUUAAUCGGGGCAGGGUGAGUCGACCCCUAAGGCGAGGCCGAAAGGCGUAGUCGAUGGGAAACAGGUUAAUAUUCCUGUACUUGGUGUUACUGCGAAGGGGGGACGGAGAAGGCUAUGUUGGCCGGGCGACGGUUGUCCCGGUUUAAGCGUGUAGGCUGGUUUUCCAGGCAAAUCCGGAAAAUCAAGGCUGAGGCGUGAUGACGAGGCACUACGGUGCUGAAGCAACAAAUGCCCUGCUUCCAGGAAAAGCCUCUAAGCAUCAGGUAACAUCAAAUCGUACCCCAAACCGACACAGGUGGUCAGGUAGAGAAUACCAAGGCGCUUGAGAGAACUCGGGUGAAGGAACUAGGCAAAAUGGUGCCGUAACUUCGGGAGAAGGCACGCUGAUAUGUAGGUGAAGUCCCUUGCGGAUGGAGCUGAAAUCAGUCGAAGAUACCAGCUGGCUGCAACUGUUUAUUAAAAACACAGCACUGUGCAAACACGAAAGUGGACGUAUACGGUGUGACGCCUGCCCGGUGCCGGAAGGUUAAUUGAUGGGGUUAGCGGUAACGCGAAGCUCUUGAUCGAAGCCCCGGUAAACGGCGGCCGUAACUAUAACGGUCCUAAGGUAGCGAAAUUCCUUGUCGGGUAAGUUCCGACCUGCACGAAUGGCGUAAUGAUGGCCAGGCUGUCUCCACCCGAGACUCAGUGAAAUUGAACUCGCUGUGAAGAUGCAGUGUACCCGCGGCAAGACGGAAAGACCCCGUGAACCUUUACUAUAGCUUGACACUGAACAUUGAGCCUUGAUGUGUAGGAUAGGUGGGAGGCUUUGAAGUGUGGACGCCAGUCUGCAUGGAGCCGGCCUUGAAAUACCACCCUUUAAUGUUUGAUGUUCUAACGUUGGCCCCUUACCGGGGUUGCGGACAGUGUCUGGUGGGUAGUUUGACUGGGGCGGUCUCCUCCUAAAGAGUAACGGAGGAGCACGAAGGUUGGCUAAUCCUGGUCGGACAUCAGGAGGUUAGUGCAAUGGCAUAAGCCAGCUUGACUGCGAGCGUGACGGCGCGAGCAGGUGCGAAAGCAGGUCAUAGUGAUCCGGUGGUUCUGAAUGGAAGGGCCAUCGCUCAACGGAUAAAAGGUACUCCGGGGAUAACAGGCUGAUACCGCCCAAGAGUUCAUAUCGACGGCGGUGUUUGGCACCUCGAUGUCGGCUCAUCACAUCCUGGGGCUGAAGUAGGUCCCAAGGGUAUGGCUGUUCGCCAUUUAAAGUGGUACGCGAGCUGGGUUUAGAACGUCGUGAGACAGUUCGGUCCCUAUCUGCCGUGGGCGCUGGAGAACUGAGGGGGGCUGCUCCUAGUACGAGAGGACCGGAGUGGACGCAUCACUGGUGUUCGGGUUGUCAUGCCAAUGGCACUGCCCGGUAGCUAAAUGCGGAAGAGAUAAGUGCUGAAAGCAUCUAAGCACGAAACUUGCCCCGAGAUGAGUUCUCCCUGACCCUUUAAGGGUCCUGAAGGAACGUUGAAGACGACGACGUUGAUAGGCCGGGUGUGUAAGCGCAGCGAUGCGUUGAGCUAACCGGUACUAAUGAACCGUGAGGCUUAACCUUACAACGCCGAAGGUGUUU